This is a long non-coding RNA of Pyrgilauda ruficollis (rufous-necked snowfinch), 169 nucleotides long. RefSeq lists it as uncharacterized. The transcript is spliced from 3 exons. The record is from RefSeq and is a predicted model, not a curated record. NCBI's taxonomy places the organism in Eukaryota, Metazoa, Chordata, Aves, Passeriformes, Passeridae.
CGGGAGAGGCGGCGUGCGGGGAAACCUGUGUCCCGUUCUGGGCUCCUCGUGUAAUCAUUCAGCCUUAAAUGCACUGUAGCACACAUACCAGGAUCGUGCUUGUCUCUGGAUCCAGAAAAGUAGUCAACAAUUGCAAUAUUGUAACUGCACCAUGGAGAGCCAGCACACC